ACCAGCAUGGUGUAGUGGUUUGAGCAUUGGACUAUGACUCUAAAGAUCAGGGUUCGAUUCCCCACUCAAUGACG
RNAcentral lists this transfer RNA (74 nucleotides) under Phrynosoma platyrhinos (Desert horned lizard). RNAcentral's name for it is "tRNA-OTHER". Lineage: Eukaryota; Metazoa; Chordata; Lepidosauria; Squamata; Phrynosomatidae. The record is from RNAcentral.